CAAAAGCCCAGGAUUUAUUCUGUAUGCAACUUAGUCGGGUGCGCUGAGAUAACACAGCAUAGAAUGAAAGAACCCUCCCAAUGCUGGUUCAUCUUUGCGUGGAUGAAGUGGAACUGAAAUACCGCAUCUCUAACAGCAGAGAGGCUGCUGCAGCCCCCAGAGCCCAACCUCUAUGGGUGCAUGCUGUGCUUGAGGUCCCACAGUGGCAGAGCACGGGGCGGCCCAGCUGAGAACCUGGCCAGGAGACGGGGAAAGGAGUGGCUGCUCUCCAGUCUUGAUGCCUAGAACUUGCUUUUAGUCUAUUUCCAACGAAGGGAUUUCUGAAGGGCAGACAAUGCUCCCCGUGCCAUGGUGGGCCCUCCCCUGGCUGUGGGCUUCUGACUGAGACCUGCAGCUCCAGCUCUUCUCAGUGUCACGGCUUCACCCUGGGCUGGGUGGGACUUCUGUACCAGGCCCCCAUUGCAGGGCCUUUUUUAAGCUUAUUCCUAAUGACCUUGGGUGAGUAGGUAAAUAUUUCGGUGCCUGUAUGUGCA
This 533-nucleotide long non-coding RNA is filed under the name Gallus gallus (chicken). RNAcentral's name for it is "lncRNA (ENSGALG00010025100.1)". Lineage: Eukaryota; Metazoa; Chordata; Aves; Galliformes; Phasianidae. The record is from RNAcentral.